This 497-nucleotide ribosomal RNA is filed under the name uncultured bacterium. Its description in RNAcentral is "partial 16S ribosomal RNA". It matches the Rfam family "Bacterial small subunit ribosomal RNA", at positions 28 to 507 of the family's 1533-position model. The record is from RNAcentral.
GACGAACGCUGGCGGCGUGCCUAAUACAUGCAAGUUGAGCGCUGAAGGUUGGUACUUGUACCAACUGGAUGAGCAGCGAACGGGUGAGUAACGCGUGGGGAAUCUGCCUUUGAGCGGGGGACAACAUUUGGAAACGAAUGCUAAUACCGCAUAAAAACUUUAAAUACAAGUUUUAAGUUUGAAAGAUGCAAUUGCAUCACCCAAAGAUGAUCCCGCGUUGUAUUAGCUAGUUGGUGAGGUAAAGGCUCACCAAGGCGAUGAUACAUAGCCGACCUGAGAGGGUGAUCGGCCACAUUGGGACUGAGACACGGCCCAAACUCCUACGGGAGGCAGCAGUAGGGAAUCUUCGGCAAUGGACGAAAGUCUGACCGAGCAACGCCGCGUGAGUGAAGAAGGUUUUCGGAUCGUAAAACUCUGUUGGUAGAGAAGAACGUUGGUGAGAGUGGAAAGCUCAUCAAGUGACGGUAACUACCCAGAAAGGGACGGCUAACUACGUG